ACUUUCAGUUGCCAUCAUUCAGUUGGGCACUCUGGAAGAACUGCCGGUGAUAAGCCGGAGGAAGGUGUGGAUGACGUCAAGUCCUCAUGGCCCUUACGGGUUGGGCUACACACGUGCUACAAUGGUGGUGACAAUGGGUUAAUCCCAAAAAGCCAUCUCAGUUCGGAUUGGGGUCUGCAACUCGACCCCAUGAAGUCGGAAUCGCUAGUAAUCGCGUAACAGCAUGACGCGGUGAAUACGUUCCCGGGCCUUGUACACACCGCCCGUCACACCAUGGGAAUUGGGUUUACCCGACGACGGUGCGCUAACCUGCAAAGGAGGCAGCCGGCCACGGUAGGCUCAGUGACUGGGGUGAAGUCGUAACAAGGUAGUCGUAGGGGAACCUGC
RNAcentral lists this ribosomal RNA (387 nucleotides) under uncultured bacterium SA27. RNAcentral describes it as "bacterial SSU rRNA". It matches the Rfam family "Bacterial small subunit ribosomal RNA", at positions 1107 to 1515 of the family's 1533-position model. The record is from RNAcentral.